GGGGGGAUCUUCGGACCUCUCGCUAAUAGAUGAGCCUAGGCCGGAUUAGCUAGUUGGUAGGGUAAAGGCCUACCAAGGCGACGAUCUGUAGCUGGUCUGAGAGGAUGGCCAGCCACACUGGAACUGAGACACGGUCCAGACUCCGUACGGGAGGCAGCAGGUGGGGAAUAUUGGACAAUGGGGGCAACCCUGAUCCAGCCAUGCCGCGUGUGUGAAGAAGGCCUUCGGGUUGUAAAGCACUUUAAGCGAGGAGGAAGGUUUUUAGUUUAAUACACUAAAGAAUUGACGUUACUCGCAAAAUAAGCACCGGCUAACUCCGUG
RNAcentral lists this ribosomal RNA (321 nucleotides) under uncultured bacterium. RNAcentral describes it as "bacterial SSU rRNA". It matches the Rfam family "Bacterial small subunit ribosomal RNA", at positions 202 to 507 of the family's 1533-position model. The record is from RNAcentral.